AGUCAAGUAAUUAAGUGCAUGUGGUGGAUGCCUUGGCAGUCAGAGGCGAUGAAAGACGUGAUAGCCUGCGAAAAGCUCCGGGGAGGCGGCAAAUAUCCUUUGAUCCGGAGAUGUCUGAAUGGGGGAACCCACCUACUUUAAGGUAGGUAUUGCAACAUGAAUACAUAGUGUUGCAAGGCGAACGAGGGGAAGUGAAACAUCUCAGUACCCUUAGGAAAAGAAAUCAAUUGAGAUUCCCUCAGUAGCGGCGAGCGAACGGGGAUCAGCCCAUUAAGUUAUGUGUGUUUUAGUGGAACGCUCUGGGAAGUGCGAACGUAGAGGGUGAUAUUCCCGUACACGAAAGGGCACACAUAAUGAUGACGAGUAGGGCGAGGCACGUGAAACCUUGUCUGAAUAUGGGGGGACCAUCCUCCAAGGCUAAAUACUCCUGACUGACCGAUAGUGAACCAGUACCGUGAGGGAAAGGCGAAAAGAACCCCUGUGAGGGGAGUGAAAUAGAUCCUGAAACCGCAUGCAUACAAGCAGUGGGAGCACCUUCGUGGUGUGACUGCGUACCUUUUGUAUAAUGGGUCAGCGACUUAUAUUCAGUAGCAAGGUUAACCGUAUAGGGGAGCCGUAGAGAAAUCGAGUCUUAAUAGGGCGUUUAGUUGCUGGGUAUAGACCCGAAACCAGGCGAUCUAUCCAUGAGCAGGUUGAAGGUUGGGUAACACUAACUGGAGGACCGAACCCACUGUCGUUGAAAAGCCAGGGGAUGACUUGUGGAUAGGGGUGAAAGGCUAAUCAAGCCUGGUGAUAGCUGGUUCUCCCCGAAAGCUAUUUAGGUAGCGCCUCGGACGAAUACCAUAGGGGGUAGAGCACUGUUUCGGCUAGGGGGUCAUCCCGACUUACCAAACCGAUGCAAACUCCGAAUACCUAUGAGUACUAUCCGGGAGACAGACUGCGGGUGCUAACGUCCGUAGUCAAGAGGAAAACAAUCCAGACCGCCAGCUAAGGCCCCAAAAUCAUAGUUAAGUGGGAAACGAUGUGGGAAGGCAUAGACAGCUAGGAGGUUGGCUUAGAAGCAGCCACCCUUUAAAGAAAGCGUAAUAGCUCACUAGUCGAGUCGGCCUGCGCGGAAGAUGUAACGGGGCUAAAACUAUGUGCCGAAGCUGCGGAUGUAUACUUUGUAUACGUGGUAGGGGAGCGUUCUGUAAGCCGAUGAAGGUGUGUUGAGAAGCAUGCUGGAGGUAUCAGAAGUGCGAAUGCUGACGUGAGUAACGACAAAACGGGUGAAAAACCCGUUCGCCGAAAGACCAAGGGUUCCAGUCCAACGUUAAUCGGGGCUGGGUGAGUCGACCCCUAAGGCGAGGCCGAAAGGCGUAGUCGAUGGGAAAAUGGUUAAUAUUCCAUUACUUCUGUGUAAUGCGAUGAGAGGACGGAGAAGGCUAAAUCAGCCUGGCGUUGGUUGUCCAGGUGAAAGGAUG
RNAcentral lists this ribosomal RNA (1463 nucleotides) under Acinetobacter baumannii. Its description in RNAcentral is "partial 23S ribosomal RNA". It matches the Rfam family "Bacterial large subunit ribosomal RNA", at positions 1 to 1520 of the family's 2925-position model. The record is from RNAcentral. Lineage: Bacteria; Pseudomonadati; Pseudomonadota; Gammaproteobacteria; Moraxellales; Moraxellaceae.